CUGCCCACUCUUUCUGCCUUGUGGUAGAGGGGUGGGCAGGUGGUAUGCAGCAGCUUUGACUAAGCUGGCUAGCUUUUCCCAAACCUGGGCAAGUUUUCCAAUCAUCGGAGAGGAGGGACCACUCUGAGUGCUUUGUGGAGCGGAGAGCAGAGGCAGGCGGAAGUGGGAACGGAGAGACCAGCCGGGAAGUUCUUGGCAGGCACACGUGAGCUGUGACGCAGCAGUGGAGGUGGAGAGUGGAACUUUCAAGGUUCUCUCUGGAGGUCAAGAAACCAAUAGCCAGACUCAGAGCCCCCAGGACGCCCAUAUCAAUGACAGCUCCUCUCUGCACCAUGAAUGUGUCCGCAAGGCCACCUUCUCUGGUGGUGAGAAUGGCAGCUGGAGGUUGGAGAACAUUCCUUGCGUAAUGAAAGCAACCCUAUGGAUCCAGCUGAGCUUCCAGGUCAAC
Long non-coding RNA from Mesoplodon densirostris (Blainville's beaked whale), 448 nucleotides. RefSeq lists it as uncharacterized. The transcript has 4 exons. The record is from RefSeq and is a predicted model, not a curated record. Lineage: Eukaryota; Metazoa; Chordata; Mammalia; Artiodactyla; Ziphiidae.